Molecule: long non-coding RNA, 42412 nt
Filed under: Triticum aestivum (bread wheat)
Lineage: Eukaryota; Viridiplantae; Streptophyta; Magnoliopsida; Poales; Poaceae
Description: long non-coding RNA (TAES_LNC017152)
Source: RNAcentral
CCUUGAAGGUGCUUGCGCUCCAGGCGCCAGGGGCCCCACGUGCUCAUGCUGUCUCCGAAGACAAGAUGGUGAGCCGUGCUCGUGCCCCCACCCCGCGUGCAAAAGCUUUCUCCGACGACAAGAUGAUGAGCCGCGCAAACUUGCCUCACUGCUACUAGUGAUUUGAAGUUAACCGGUGCCUAAUGAUUUGAUGUUACUGACAAUCUUUAAUCUAGUCAUGUAAAUUAGUAUUGGUGCUUAAUUAAUUACUUGAUGCGUAUGUGCAAGAAUUACGUGAUUGGUUUGUCCUUGGACAUUUUAAUCGUAGCAUUCUCAUCUGCCAGAUGGAGGGGAACGAGAUGAAGCCGGUCCAGGGGGUGCCGCCCAUGCUGGGGAGCAUUGCGGCUUAAAGCUCGGUGGGUAAGUACUCCAUACUGUUUUCUCUGUCAAUAUCACGGCUGGUUUUUCGUCAUCAUUAGUAUUCUGAUAUUGGACUGAAGCUGGUUACAUCUGUCCAUGCUGGAUUUUUGGUAUCAUUUGUAUACUGAUAUUGGACUGAAACUUCUUACCUCGAUCCAUGCUGUUUUUUUUGUCAUCAUUAAUAUAAUGAUAUAUUGGACUGAAGCUGCACAUAUUUUCUUUCCAUUAACGUGGUCGGGCGGUGGUACGCGUCACCCGGGCCAUCCUGGCCACCUUACCCACCUCAUUUUAAUCAAAUUCCACCUAAUUUGUUUUUUCACUAGCCACGUAUACAAACGCAAGCUCCGGCACUGUGUUGCAGCAUGGGAGACACAUGAACUGUAAUAAGAAACAUGCAAUCGCUAGAAACAUCUCCGUACAUUUUUUGGCAUGUUUUAUGUGUCAACAAGAUUAGUCGGCUCACAGCCAUCGGAUCCGACACGUGGAGCAUUGAAUCACACUACACGGCAGGAGAGAGAGUGGAACCCGUCUUACUCCAUAUACUCCACAAAACCUGUGUAUCCUCCACCCCUCCCCCAUCGUCGCAAUAGACUAUUACGUCAGCCCAUCACAGCACCCGACAACCGUGUCCUGGAGCAUCUCUGAUGUUGCCUACGUAUCCUGCAAGCAUUAUCACAGUGCGCUAGCGAGGCAUCGUCCUUGCAACAUUGUCUUACAUCCAAAGUAGUUGAUGCGACCACAACCAUCACCCCUUUGUCGCAUGGGUCGUGGCUUGUGGCACUGGUCGUCGGAUAAAAAACACGCCGCAAGAACCUAUGGUUGCAGUACUGCGAUCUAUGCAACUUAGGAAUUGUUGCGACAGCCCCUACCCCAGCAACACCGGCCAUAUUUGUAGCAUAGAUGAGAAGAUGGUUAUAGCACCCGACGAGGGUAUAUGUUCGCAGCACCACGAGCGAGCACUGCCUUAAAACAUCGGCUAUUGCGAUGCAGCACUAACGAACACCCUCACAGCCAUGAAACGUCAUGUGCCUUGGAUCAUGUAGCAUAGUGCUCCUCUUUCAGCAUAUAUGGUUGGCUUGUAGCAGUGAUGGUCGCAGAGUCGCAGCACCCUUGGGUGGCGGUGCUAGCCCAACACAUUGUCAUAGAGAAAGGGGAACAAAGGGUGGGUCUGCAUGUGGUCGAAAUAACGCGAAUGGGUGAUAUGGUGAAGAGAGAAGAAGACAAACGAGGGGGGUCUGGCGCUAGAGUGUGCUGACUCAUUUCCUCCUAAAAUCUAUCCGUUGAAAAUAAUUCCAUUUUCUUUCGAGAAACCUCAUACAAACGUCGCAACAUGCGAGCAUGUCUAUACAAAAAAUUGUAGAUAUACAACACAUACUCAUUAACUGCAACAAAUAGGUGAAAAAGACAAUGUAUGUAGGCCUGAACCAAUGGAUCAUCGUCAUGCAUCUGCUUGCUCUUACUAGGUUACGCCCACCCCAGAGCCCUCUUGAUAGUGUAAGAAUGACAGAGCACCCUACAUUCAGUUUGAUAAUAACCUGGCCGGGGUACCACACAUCAUAAUCGUCAAGAUCAACCUAUCUGAGAAACCAAGUGCCCUCAUCAUCAGAUCGAGGAAAAUCUAAACCAUCCUCUUAUGGGCUUUCGUCAUGUAUAGUGUAAUUGUGAACAUUAGAUUUUGCUAUUCCUUGAACAAACAUACUUUGUUCCUCCGUAAUCAUUUUGGAUAGUACAACCUUCAAUCUAUUUGCUAGGCCUUUGAAGUAAUCUGACUGAGUGUGUUAAUUAAGCUUAUUGAUUCGAUUUGAGGAAGUAUCUCCAGCGAGUAAAUUUGGGGAUCACGACUAGAACCGUAUCAUUGAAUUUUUCUGGUGCAACAACUCCAUUAAAAAAAUCCCCUAUUACUAUGUGUACAUCAUUUUUUAACAACGACUAGUGAAAUUCGUAAACAUAAGUUGAGAGGUUCUCUGGCCCUGCACUUUUGUCAGUCCAAUUUAGAAUAGUGCAUUCUCAAUUUCUUCAUCCAUCACGUCUGCGUUCAUCCUCUCCUCCAUAUCACUAGUCACACAAGGUUGGAUGUGAGCUAAGAUGUGGUCAGCUUCAGCAGAGCUUUCUGAAGAAAACAAUUAAGCAUAGAAAUCGGCCAACAUCUUCCCCAUCUCAUUGUCAACCAUUCAUCUUGUGCCACCCGCCCUCAUGCCAUCCGCCCUCAUUCUCAAUUCCAGUCGAGAACGUUGCUUAUACAUUAUUUGUUCCCAUGCAUGAACCACAUGAAGCUACACUUCAAUCUCGCUGAUCUCUAGUGAGGAUCUGGAACCCAACGCUAUGUCCUCUAAAUCGAAGCUGGACCUUGUGCCUAGUAAUCUCACAACAUAUGAAACAAAAACACCGAGCCACUCCAAUGUUGCAUAUCAUUGGUGACAUUGUUAAUCAUCCCAUACAAUGCACUCUGGCCGGAAUUAUUAUCACAUGCACACUCCCACGCCUCAAUGGGGCAUCCACCUCUCUUACUUGUGUAAUGCCCUCUUCUUACUUUUGUAAUGUCCAGGUUGUCUAGCACUCUAAUAAUGAGUGAAGCAUGGUCUGGUCCUUUAUAAGAACAUGUUCAAUGGAUGUAUCAUAGAAUAAAUGCAUGAAAACAUCAUUGCUUGAACCCCUGUCCAAAUAUACCUAAAUGAUCUCAUCUUCCUCCCUCUAAUUGUCCCAUGUGUACGGGUAGCUACUAAAACAAAUGUAUGAAAAGCUAUUAUUGGCUACACUCUCCCUAACGCGCUCCAUUUGUGUGAAACUCAUCAUGUAAUCUCCUAGUUGCUGUGAUUCAAACAAUACUUUGUUGAGGCAUCAUUGUCACAGAUAAAUAUAUAUUAGCGUCCAGUCUCUCGGAGCCUCUCUUAGCUACACAAAUUUGCUCUGAUCUGACUUCCUAUCCAGUAGCUUUAGCUGAUAAGCCUUGACGCUUUAGGUGAUGAGCACCACUCUGCCUUGUCUUAUGAACACAAGUGCCUUGUCUGCGUUGCCUCGAGGUAGAUGGGUCAUCCUUUCCCAAAACCUUGCACCCUUUCCAGUAUAGAAUUUUUUAUUUCUUGCUUCCUUUUAUAUUCCGUCCUUAGCUCCCACUUCCUUUUCAGCUGAAAAUCAUCCCUUAGUUCAGAAGCAUGUCACCAAUCUUGACUGCACUACGUCGUUCUUAGACAAUUACCAUCUACACGAUCAUCUUGAGGUUCUUCACUAUUGUGACAGUCCAAAGAGGGAGUAUAAUCAUUGUAUCACCAGCGCCUAAAUGGGAGGUCAUGCAACUCUGCAUGCCCGCCCUUGCAUGACCUUGUGCUCCCAAAACUAAAGUGCUUUCUGUCGCCAACUUCUACUCAGUUUCUGUCUGUGAGAAGCUAUGUCCGAGUGAUACCCUCAAUCCUUCACCCAACUGAGGUGAGGAAUCAACAUAUCGUUCAGAUCGUCCAUCAAUAUGUGCUAGUCUGCCGCAGGCAAUCCAAAAGUGAGGUAUCUUCUCAAAUUAAAAAUCAAACAAGGUCCCCUCUCUUUAGCUGAAGAGUGGAGAAAGAAGCCUCGGACCAGUGAAACAAUUAUGAAAAUUCUAGCUCUAACUCUGACAUGGUCCCCCCCAUAAAUUCAUCCUUCUGGACGCGAAACUUUAGCACGUCACCAAGCCAAUUCCCGAGAGCAUUCCGAAAAGUAUAUGAUCAUAUAUAUAGGAGAAGAUCCGUCAUUCUCAUACAUGGCUCCGUCAUACAAAACAUUAUCUUCGACAGCCUAGUUUUACAAUCAUAAUCCUUCAAAACUAUCACACUAAAACCAGAUUGCCACGGUCCAUUAUAUAGAGUGUGCUUCUAGACUCCUUUGUUGGCGAAUCUCAAGAAGAAGAUAUUAUUGCCAAUGUGACUUAUUUGGGCUUACUAGUAGAGUCCUCAUGCCUUUCGCAUAGCCUUGUGAAACAUGUUGAUGUUGCUUUGCUGGAGUGAGCAUGCCUUUACAACUGCCGACCGCCUAGUGGGCCUCGAUCUGUCCAGAAUCCCGAUCCCGAAACAUAAGAACUAUUAUUCCUUUUUUGUCAUGUUCAGGGCUCCUUGUUUGGUUGAGAUAUUAGCGGCCUCCCCAGAAGCAGUUCUGUCUGUCAGGGACUUUGAAGUUUCUCGGCUUAUCCAUUUUUGGUCGCCCGCUUCACUUGAGUUGUAAUCUAUGCCACGUCUGCUCUCCCAUAAUUGCCCAAAGGAGAGGAAGCACGAAGACUAAUCAAUGUAGGAGUUUACAACAUCAUCGCCCAUAGAUGAAUAAAACCAUAACCCUAGCACUACCUGACAGUCGCCUAUAGUUGCCUUAGCAUUUCCUUUCAUGGUGGGCCAGCCACCAGGUAUUUCUAUCGGUCCUUCGAUUGGUACUUUUUUCUACGGUGGAGCCUUUGUUCUUCAUUUGCCUUUCUACAAUGGCGGUUGUAUCUAACUAAUAUAGUCUCCUCUAUCUAUUGGAAGCCAGGACAUUAGCCCUUAUUUUUUCAAGGAAAAUACACUUGCUAGUGUACAAGCGACAUCGAAUUUGGUCUUGUCACAUGUGAAGAUGAUACUAAGAGUAUGAUACAUAUAGGUGCACAUAUGAACAGCUCGAGGGGAACCGAGCGCACAAAGGAAUCAGCCACCAUAAUCAAGUCAUUUCCAAAGAAACAAAGUGACAAAUAGAGAUACAAGAUAUUAGCUGCUUUAUGGAAAACACAUAUAGUUAAAUGUUGCUUUGCUCUUAGAUUAUUAACAAGAAAUACUCUUUACUAAUAUUUAACUGUUGCUUUGCUCUUUGAUUAUUAACAAGAGAUACAAGACAUUAGCUUCUUGACAGAUAUGGAAUGUAUUAAAGAAUCGUAUAAAUUUUUUGGUAUGUUGAAAUUAGAAGAAGUUCAUGUGCCUUCAAGGCAUGUCACAAUAUGUUAUUCCAGCUCAAAUAAGUAAAUACUAGUUUUUCUCCCUGCAUAUAGCCCCUCUUAUCAUGCUCUCUCUCUCUCUCUCUCUCUCUCUCUCUCUCUCUUUCUCUCUCUCUCUCUCUCUCUCUCUCUCUCCACUGUAUAUUAGAGAAGUGCCGACACUACUCGAUAGUUCCCAACUAGUGAAGGUCCAGAAGCACCCAACAUUGACGGGUUCAACACCCAUCAGUAAUUUAUACUUAGUAGAGAAGUAAAAAAAACCACUUACAGUCACAUGCCCGCCAAUGGUGAUCAAAUCAGAAAAGAAAAUCAGGCCAUGGCUGGUCCAAUUCCAACACCUGCCAAUAAUGUGUAUUCUCCACUACUCGAACCUACUUAUCCUUGAUAUGUUGCAUCGUUUUAUGUUUGGAGAAGCCAUAAAGUUGGAAAUCCAAAUAGAGAAAACAAUGAUGGGGAGUGGCUUGAAUAAUAGGAGCCGAGAAGCCGGACAGAGAAGGCCUCCAUCAUGCUGCACCAUUGCCCGAAGAACAAUGACCCGUAUAGGGCAAGGACCGAGGCAUAAUUGAACACCACCAUCAUCUGGGUGGCAAAGAGAGUUCUACCGGUGUGUUCCUACUCUCAGACAAACUCAAUGAAUUCUUGGAGGCGGCACCUGUGCCAGAUUCCGUAGAGAUGACAACAUUGAGGAGGUGGAGGGCAAUGCAAGGUUUCUUUCGCAGAGGGAUUAUUUUUAGGGAAGAGGGGUAAGUGUAUGACAUUAUGAGCUAUUAAAAAUGGAAGUUUGUGCGGCUAUGGAUGAAAAAUCAUGAAGACAAGUGAGCUAGUAGCUAGAGAAGGUUCGAAUGAUAGCAGGAAGGAAUAAUGAGCUUACUGGGUGGGGCUACUUUUUUUAACAUGUGACCUAAAUGACAGGGUAUUGAUUUAGUCACAGUCGGGAUGGGACUAGGGCUUCUAAGUUGUGGGUUCUAUAUGACUAACAUGUAGCAUGUAUAGCCUCAAAAUUAUCUACUAUUACUGGUAACAUUGUAUCAUUUAUGGACCACAUAUUGGGCCCGGCACUACUACCUGUUUUCAACAAAAAUAGAUUUUUAGUUAUAGUCAAUUUCACGACAAUCUUGCCAGCCAUUAUUGCUAACUAGCACUGCUAGCGGGUUUUGUGACCCCCCAUUUUGGAUCAAUACCUAGACGAGAACUCUAGCGUAGUGCACAUUUGUUUCUUUGAGAGUCUGUUAGUGUUUUUUUGUGCCCGAAGACGUAUCAGUUGACCCUAACAAGUGUUAUCUUUAGGUGGGGUCAAGAUUGAAAGAGCGGGGAGCUUUGCGGCAGGGAAAAUGGCACCUAGUGGCGUUCAGGUCUCCAUGAUGAACAACCACAACUUUGAUCUAAAUGAGCUAUUACUGAGCAUGAGAACCUUAAGCGGGAGUAGUCGCCCGUGGAUCAAGAGUAGCCGCCUAUGGCGCAACAUGAGGUUUAAUAUUCACAAUGGUUGGAGCCUCCUCAAAUCCGCAUCUGUGAGAAAAAAUAACUAUUGACCAAAAGCGUAGCCUUGUCAAAAAUUAUCAAAACAAUAUCCCUAUCCGAGGAUGAUGGGAAGGCUUUACGUGGAACUUUUGAAUCUCUUGCUUCCUAUUUUUUGGCAAUUGACUGGCGCUAUUGCUGAACUUGAGGGAGGGGGUUGGUAUACUGCCUCAUUAUCACCAUGUCCACUCGAAAUGGCUUUUAUAUUCAUUUUCCAUGAUGGUUUCCGUGUGUAAUUGUUUUGAAAAAGAACUUAUUUAUUUUGUAAUGCUUUGUGAAACAUCAACUAUAGAGCUAAGUCUUGGGUCAUGUGGAAAGGCAGUAGGUCAAGAAGUGUGUUGGAUCAUGAGAUAAUAUAUUUUCUAAGUUGUUCAGCAUGUGUGUUGACACCAUGGGUAGUAUGAGAGAAGGUUGUCUCAUGAGCUAACACACUUCUUGAACUACUAUCUUUUCACAUGACCCGAGACCUAGCUCCAUCAUUGAUGUUUCACAAACUUUACCAAAUGAAUAUAUUAUUGUUUAAAAAAUUCUCAUAUGAAAACCAUCAUGGGAAAUGAAUAGAAAAGGCAUUCCAAGUGGAUAGGGUGAUCAUGAGGCGGUAUACCAACUCUCUCCAUCAAGUAUAGCAAUAGUUCAGUUAAUGGUAAAAAAGUAGGAAGUGAGAAAUUCAAAACUUCAACACAAGGCUUCCCAUUAUUCUUGGGAUAGGGAUAUUUUUGAUAAUUUCUGACAGGGCUAUGCUUUUGCCAAGAGUUACUUUUGCUCACACAUGCGUAUUUGAGCAGCCUCCAACCAUUGUAAAUAUUAAAGCUCAUGUUGUGCCACAUGUGGCUACUCCUGCUCCACAGGCGGUUGCUCCUUCUUGAGCUGCUCAUGCUCAGUUGAUAGCUCAUUCAAAUUAAAGUUGUGGUUGUUCAUCAUGGAGACCUGAACCCCUCCAGGUGCCAUUUUCCCUGCUGCCAAGCUCCCCACUCUUUCACUCUCGACCCCACCUAAAGAGAACAAUUAUUAGGGUCCAUUGAUAUGUUUUCGUGAACAGGAAAACACUAACAUGAUCUCAAAGAAACAAAUGUGCAAUAAGAUAGAGUUAUCAUCUAGUUAUUCAUCAAAAGUGGUGGGUCACACAACCUGUCAGCUAUGCUACUUAGCACUAAUGGACAGCGGGAUUGUCGUGAAUCUGUUUAUAACUAAAAAUCUAUUUUUGUUGAAAAAAGAUAGUAGUGACGGGCCCAAUAUGUGGCCCAUCAAGGAUACACUGUUACCAGUGACAGAGGACUAUAUUGAGGCUAAACAUGCUACUUGUUAGUCAUAUACAACUCACCACAUACAAGCGCAAGUCACAACAUGAAUUGACUAAAUCAUUACCCAUUCAUCCAGAUCGCAUCUUAAAAAUAAGUAGCCCCACCCAGUAAGCUCAUUAUUCCUUCCUUCUAUGAUUUGUCCCUUCUCUAGCUACUAGCACACUUGCCUUCAUGAUUUGUCCUCUACAACAACACAUACUUAGCUUGUUUCCCCCUCUUUGCUGAAAAUAAACCCUCCGAGGAAGAAACCUUGUGCUGCCCCUCCACCUCUUUAAAAUGUUGUCACCUCUGCUAAAUCUGGCAUGGGGGCCACCUCCAAGAAUUCAUUGAGUUUGUCCGAGAGGAGGAACACCCAGUCCAAAUCCCUCUGCUACCCAGAUUAUGAUGGUGUUCACUUCUGCCUCGGUCCUUGCACCAUACGGAUUAGUACUCAUCGGCAGAUGGUGCAGCAUGGUGGAGGCCUUCUCCGUCCAGCUUCUCACAUCCUAUUCUUCAAGCCACUUGUAACAUCCCAAAUUUUCAAUUUGGAAUGUUAUACAAAUAGACCAUCAUUGCAUAUCAUAUUUAAUGCAUUUUGUUUCGGUCCUAGAAAUUCUACGCAACUCAAGGACCCACGGAGAGAGUUGGGGAUUUCGAUAUUUUCAUAUUUGAGUUUUCUCAAAUUUUGGAAGUAGGAUCAUUUGAUUUUAUUUAUUUUAGCUUCAAUUAUUUCAAUUAUAUAAAUAUGAGAGAGGGAAUAAAAUGACUUUCCCAAAAUAAAGAAAUAUUGAGGAUUUAAUAAAAAAGAUCAAAUAAGAUUUUUGUUUUGGAUUUUCUGGCUAUUUUAUUCGAAUUUAGGAAAAAUGUGUGUUUUCAAAAAUUGCAUUUAGGCCCAAAUAAAUAUUCAUCUAAACCGGCUUGAUUUUAGAAGCCGAGGAAAAUUUAUUUCGGGACUUUUGGAGUCCAUUUAGUAUUUCUUUCGUUUGUUUCUCUGCGUGAUAUUUAUUUAAAAAAAACUGGAACCGACUACGGGCCGUAACCGGCCAGGACUCCGCCUGGCCGGGUCUUUAUAUAGCGCGCCCUGGGCUCCGCCCCAGCCCAAAACCGCCGCCGCCAGCCCAACCCGCCGCCGCCGCCAAAACCCUAACCCUAGCGCCGCGCCGCCGCCAGCCCGCGCCGCUGCCGCCGCCGCUACNNNNNNNNNNNNNNNNNNNNNNNNNNNNNNNNNNNNNNNNNNNNNNNNNNNNNNNNNNNNNNNNNNNNNNNNNNNNNNNNNNNNNNNNNNNNNNNNNNNNNNNNNNNNNNNNNNNNNNNNNNNNNNNNNNNNNNNNNNNNNNNNNNNNNNNNNNNNNNNNNNNNNNNNNNNNNNNNNNNNNNNNNNNNNNNNNNNNNNNNNNNNNNNNNNNNNNNNNNNNNNNNNNNNNNNNNNNNNNNNNNNNNNNNNNNNNNNNNNNNNNNNNNNNNNNNNNNNNNNNNNNNNNNNNNNNNNNNNNNNNNNNNNNNNNNNNNNNNNNNNNNNNNNNNNNNNNNNNNNNNNNNNNNNNNNNNNNNNNNNNNNNNNNNNNNNNNNNNNNNNNNNNNNNNNNNNNNNNNNNNNNNNNNNNNNNNNNNNNNNNNNNNNNNNNNNNNNNNNNNNNNNNGCCGCCGCCACCGCCGCCCUCGUCGGAGCCGCCGCCACCACCGACCCGCACCGCGAGGUUGACCUCGACGCCGCCGUUUUUUUAGAAAAACCGUUCGGUUUUUCCGUCGGUUUUUCGUCGUCUUUUUAGAUUAGGUUUUUUUCGUUAGAUCGAUUUUCUUCCGGUUUGGAUUAAUUAGUGAGCGUUCAAUCGUUUGUUCGUUUUAACGAACGCGUUCAUCGUUUAGAUCCAGAUAACGAACGUUCGUUCGUUAAUCUGUUCGUCAUUUUUCUUUUUCAAGGAUUUAUUCCGCGAUUUUUCUGAUCGCGAUUUCUGAUCCGAUUUUUGUUUUAGUAUAACUUUUCGCUCAUUUAUCGGAAUCAGGCGAUUCAAGCGCUUAGAGUUUCGUCUCGAAACCCUCUUUCCGAAUAAUGUACUCAAACCAGGUUUUGCUUCUGUAAAAUUUGACUUAGGUCCAGAUUAGUAAACGAAGCUUGUUUCUUUCGCCAUUUGAGUUUUGUUUCUUAAUUUGAUUUGAUUCUUUUUGCAAACCGGAGUUCUUAAGUUGAACUUUCUGGUUAGACCUCUUAUUUGAGUUUUACGCGUGCAUUAGAUGAGUACUUAUUGUAUGCUUGUUUGUUUGUUUGCUUGCGAUAGAGUACCCGGACUGCGCCGCUUGCUACUUCGAAUCCCAAGGUUACGCGGAUCAUCAGCAAGGCAAGUAACACUUUGAUCAUACCUCUUUACUACCCAGUUUUUAUGCAUUAGAUCAAUCCUCAAACAUUGCAUGAUUAGGAUCUAAUUAAAUUGUGGGUUUUGGGAAGUAGAUUGAGGUAGUACCUAUUACCUAUUUUAUUAUCAAACCCUUGGGAGUUACUUCUACGUUUGCUUAUUUUGCCAUGCUAUGCAAGUAGACGUGGAUUGGGUGAGUGAUUUUCCAUGAUAGAUGUGAGAUUGUUAAUUAAUGGUUUAUUUAAGGUGGCAACAUUAAUACACAUGUGGGUGGAUUGAGGUACCUGGUUAUUCCAGGAUUGCCUGUUUUUUUAUGGACCGCCACCCAGGCUCAAGGGGAUCAUAAGAUUAUUCAUGCUAGAAACUUCCGUGUGCAGCCACAUGCUAUUAUGGGCUCUAGCAUAGCUGAUUAAGUCGUGCGAACUCUUACAGUGGUAGACUAGCAGAUGUAGGGGAAAGUAGGUGUACCGGUCUACCCAUCGUAAGGUGCUAGAGCUUCUGAAAUACUAUGUCUCGGUCAUUCAUUUCUCAAACACCAUGUAGUGCGAGAAAACCAACGGAGGAGAUCGAGUCAUGUGGGAAAAAGUGCGCAAACCUCUGCAGAGUGUAUAAACUAAUCAUGAUUAGCCGUGUCCCCGGUUAUGGACAUCUUGAGUAUCUAGUACUUGGAUUAUCGUGUGAAUCUCAUCAUGUUACUUUAAUUAAGAUUGUUGGGUUUGUUUAAUGAUGAUUCUUAAUUGGGAUUGAGGAUGCUGUCAACCAUUCUCAAUGUUUAACAACCACCAUGAUAGUUAAAUAAUUUAUUCCUUUGUAGUAGGGAAAAACUGGCUUUACGCAAAAACUGUAACCAUAGAGCUAUCCACCAAGCCAUAUAUGCAUGCAGUAUAGCUUUACUCUUUCAUUUUUCUCUAUGUGUUACUUUGCCAGCAUAUUCCAUGUGCUGACCCGUUUUCGGGCUGCAACUUUCAUGUUGCAGACUUUUCAGACAACGAGUAAGAUGCUUUAGGAUCGUGGUUCUAUAGUCAGUGAUGCCGUUGGAGGUGAUGGACUCACUUAUCUUCCAAGCCUUCCGCUGUUAUCGUUAUUAGAUGGUCUUAAGCCAUAUUUAUUGUAAUAAGUUUCUCUUUAGAGACAUUCGAUGUAAUAAGUGUGUGAUUGCUACUCUGUUAUAAAUCCUUCGAGUACUGUGCGUGUCAGCAUUACUGAUCCAGGGAUGACACUGAUGCACAGAGAUCGGACUGUUUGAGGUCUGGUCGCUACACCACUACUCACCAUUGUUUUCUCUAUUCGGCUCCCCAACUAAAUGGCUUCUACAAACAUCACACAGUGCAACAUAUUGAGGAGAAGAAGGUUAGAGUAGUGGAGACUACACAUUAUUGGCAGGUGUCCGGUUUGGACCGGCCAUUGCCUGAUUUUAUUUUCCAAUUUGACCACCAUUGGUGCACACAUGCCUGUAAGUGGUCUGUUCCUUCUCCACUAAGGAUGGACUACUGAUGGGAGUUGAACCCGUCACUGCUGGGUGUGUUUGGACCUUCACCGGUUAGGCAUUAUGGAGUAGUGUCGGCAGUUCUGGAAUAUACAAUGGAGUGAGAGAGGAGAGAGAGAGUCCAUGAGAAGAGGGGCUAUAUUCAGGGAGAGUAACCACUUAGUAUGCCAUAUUUGAGGUGGAACAACACAUUGUGACACGCCUUCGCGUGAACUUCUUCUAAUUUCAACAUACCAAAAAUUGAUAUGAUUCUUUAAAACCUACUGACCAAAAUGCAUUCGAUAUCUAUCGAGAUUUACAUUUAUUAUAUUAGUAAAAAGAUUCUUGUUAAUAAUCAAAUAGCAAAGCAACAUUUAAGUAUAGAAGGGUUUUCUAUAAAGAAGAUAAUGCCUUGUCUCUCCUUUUGUGACUAUGUUUCUUUGGAAAUGAUUCGUUUAUGGUGGUUGAUUCCUUUGUGUGCUCGGUCCCCUGGAGCUAUUCAUAUCUCCUCAAAAUUGCAUCCUCCACAAAGUAUGCACCUAUAUGUAUCACACUCUUAGUUUCAUCUUCACAUGCGACAAGAAUUCUUUUCAAGUCGCUUGUACACUAGCUAGUGUAUUUACCUUGAAAAAAAGAGCCAAUGUCCUGGCUUCCAAUAGAUAGAGGAGACUAUAUGAGCUGGAUACAGCCGCCAUUUUAGAAAGCCAAAUGAAGAACAAAUGCUCCACUUCAGAAAAAGCAAGUGGUGGACCCACCAUGAAAGGAAAUGGCAACUAUAGGCGACCGACAUGUAGUGUUAGGGUUAGGGUUAUAUUCAUCUAUGGGCCGAUGACGGCGUACACUCGUACAUUGAUUGGACUUUGUGCUUCGUCUACAUUGCACGCUGAUGGGAGAGCAGGCGUGGCAUGGGUCGACAAAUCCGAUGAAGUGGGCGACCAACGAUCGAUACGCCAAGAACCUUCAAAGUCCCUGACAGACAAAAAUGCUUUCCGAAGGCAUGAAUCUCUCAAACAAACAAGGAUCCCUGAACUUGUAUGCAAAGGAACUAAUAGGUCUCUUCUUUGAGGGUCAGGAUUCUAGACUGACCAAGGCCUACUAAGUGGUCAGUGGUUGGAAAGGCAUGCUCACCGCAAAUCAACAUCACCGUGUUUGCUAGAUCUAUUGAAUAGGCAUGGGGACUCUACUAGAAAUCCUAGAUAAGUCACAUUGUCAAUAAUAUAUUCCUCUUGAGAUUUGAUAACAAAGGAGUCUAGAAGCACGCUCCAUAUAGUGGACCGUGGAUUGUUUUUUAGUGUGAUAGUUUUGAAGGAUUGUGAUGGUAAAACUAAGUUGUCAAAGAUAAUGUUUUGUAUGACGGAGCCAUGGGUGGGAAUUAAGGAUCCUCCCCUAGAAAAACAAUCAUAUACUUUUGGGUACACUCUCGGGAAUUGGCCAUAUUUGUUUCAUUAGUCUGAAGCUUCUUCUUCCACUCUACAGUGAAAGAUGAGGGGACCUGGUUUGAUUUUCAAUUUGAGAAGAAACCUCAGUUUUGGUUUGACUGCAAUAAACUAGCACAUAUUGAUGGAAGAUUUUAACCACAUGUUGAUUUCUCACCCGAUAACCCACAAGUAUGGGGGAUCGUUUGUAGCCUUGUUCGAUAAAUAAGAGUGUCAAACCCAAUAAGAGCUAAAGGAAGAACAAAUAUUCCCUCAAACUCUAUCGACCACCCAUACAACGCUAUGCACACUUGACGUUUGCUUUACCUAAAACAAGUAUGAAACUAUUUUGCAAGAAUAAAACUACAAGUACAUUGCGAGAAUAAAACUACGAAUAAAUUGCAAGGUAAUAAAAUUGGAUAGCUUUUGUCAACAAGAAAGUCAUUUGUCCCUAGGCAAUCGAUAACAAGUACCGGUAAUCAUUCUCGUAAUUUUAUUUGAGGGAGAGGCAUGAGCUAACAUACUUUCUCUUCUAGGAUCAUAUGCACUUAUGAUUGGAACUCUAGCAAGAAUCUGCAACUACUAAAGAUCAUUAAGGUCAUGAAACCCAACCACAACAUUAAAUAUCAAGUACUCUUUAUCCCAUACGCAACAACCCACCUACUUGGGUUUAACCUUCUGUCACUCUCGCAACCCACCAUGAACGAAUCAUGAACGUAUUGCAACACUGUACAGCGGGGAUCCCUCACGUUUGCGCGAGACGGAGGGCACCGUAUGACAGCGCCAUAAAUAAAAUAUACAAUCAUACCAACCAAGAUCACGAUUAACCCAUAGGACAAAACGGAUCUACUCAAAUAUCAUAGGAUAGCCAAAUAUCACUAGGAAAUAAUAUAUGGAGAUGAACACCAUGUUUAAGUAGAGAUUACAGCGGGGAGAAGGGGUGUUACACCUCUGCAUAGUGGGGGAGAAUGUUGGUGUUGACGGUAGCAAGAUUGUUGGUGUAGAUCGUCGUCAUGAUCCUAGCCCCGGUGGCGUUCCGGCAUCACUGGGAGACAGGGGGAGAGAGCCCCCCUCCUUCUUCUUCUUCCUUGGUCUCCCCCCUAGAUGGGAGGAGGGUUCCUCCUCUGGUCCAUGGCCCCCAUGGUGGCGGAGGGGCAGGAGCCCCUCCGAGAUUGGAUCUCCCUCUCUGUUAUAUUCUGUUUCGUGUUCCCAGAUCUGGCGGAAAACCGUUUCUUAUAUUCGAGGAGAUCCACAACUCCGAUUGCGAUGAAAUUUUAACAAUAUUUUUUAGGGAUAUAAGCUUCCUUGCGCCCGAAGUAGAGCUCCAACCAACAUACGAGGUGGGCAUAAGACACCUAGGUGCGCCUAGGUUCCCAGGCCCGCCCUUGUGGGUUAUGGUCACUGUGGGCCCCCUCUUCUGAUGAUUCCAGCUCCCCAAAAUCACAAAUAUUCCAAAACAAUUCUCAGUAAAAUUUUAUUGCAUUUGGACUUCGUUUGAUAUAGAUUUUCUACGAAACAAAAACAUGCAACAAACAGGAACUAGCACUGGGCACUGGAUCAAUAUGUUAGUUCAAAUAAAUCAUAUGAAAUGUUGCCAAUAGUGUAUAAAAGUUGUAUAAUAUUGGGAUGAAAGAAUCAAAAUUUAUAGAUAUGAUGGAGACGUAUCAGCAUCCCCAAGCUUAAUUCCUACUCGUCCCCGAGCAGAUAAAUGAUAAAAAAAGAUAAUUUUUGAUGUGGAAUGCUACGUAGCAUAAACUUGAUCAUAUAUAUAAUCAUGGCAUGAAUAUUAAGACAUAAGUGAUUCAAAGUAAUAGUCUAUAAUUUGACAUAAAGACAUUAAUACUCAGGAAUCCCAACAAACAAUCAUGUCUUUCAAAAUAUCAACACUAAAGAAAGCUCUCCCUACAAAAUCAUAUAAUCCUGUCAUGCUCUGUCGUCUUACCACAAAGUAUUUAUCAUGCACAACCCCGAUGACAAGCCGAGCAAUUGGUUCAUACUUUUUAACGGGCUUCAGCUUUUUCAACUCCCAUGCAAUACAUGAGCACAAGCCAUGGAUAUAGCACUAUAUGUGGAAUAGAGUAUGAUGAUUGGGGCUAAUAUAGAGAAGACAAAAAGUAAGAAAGUCUCACAUCGACGCGACUAACCAACGGGCUAUGGAGAUGCCCAUCAAUUCAUAUAAACGUGAGGAGUAGGGAUUGCCAUGCAACAAAUGCACUAAGAGAUAUAAGUGUAUGAAAGCUCAAUAUGUAAACUAAGUGGGUGAGCAUCCAACUUGCUUGCUCAUGAAGACCUCAAGCAUUUGAGGAAGCCCAUCAUCGGAAUAUACAAGCCAAGUUCAAUAACAAAAAUUCCCACUAGUAUAUGAAAGUGACUAAAUAAGAGACUCUAUAUGAAAACCAUGGUGCUACUUUGAAGCACAAGUGUGGUAAAAGAUAGUAACAAUGCCCCUUCUCUUUCUUUCUUUUUCUUUCUUUUCUUUCUUUUUUUCUUUUUUUUCUUUUUUGUCUCAUUGUCCGGAGUCUCAUCGCGACUUGUGGGGGAAUCAAAUCUUCAUCAUCCUUUCCUCACUGGGACAUGCUCUAAUAAUGAAUAAUGGUGACCAUCACACUUCUAUUUACUUAUAAAUCAAAAGAAAUAAAAAUUACAACUCGAUACCUAGAACAAAAUAUGACUCUAUAUGAAUGCCUCUGGUAGUGUACCAGGAUGUGCAAUGAUCUAGCAUAACAAUGAUAUAAAAAAUGGACAAGCCAUGUAAAUAUCAUGCUAGCUAUCUUAAAAUCAUGCAAAGCAGUAUGAUAUUGAAUACUCAAGUCAUCAAAACGGAGGCGGUGGAAAUUGCAUGGCAAUAUAUCUUAGAAUGGCUAUGGAAAUUCUAUAAUAGGUAGGUAUGGUGCCUGUUUUGAGGAAGAUAUAAUAAGGCUUAUGUGUGAUAUAGUGUAUCAUAUCACGGGGUUUGGAUGCACCUGUGAUGUUUGCACCACGUCUCAAAGUGAGAAAGGGCAAUGCACGGUACCGUAGAGGCUAGCAAAUUGCGGAAAGGUAAGAGUGCGUAUAAUCCAUGGAGUCACAUUAGUCAUAAAGAACUCAUAUACUUAUUGCAAAAGUUUAUUAGCCCUUGAAGCAAAGUACUACUACACAUGCCCCUAGGGGGAUAGAUUGGUAGGAAAAGGCCAUCGCUCGUCCCUGACGGCCACUCAUAAGGAAGACAAUCAAUAAUAAAUCAUGCUCCAACUCCAUAGCAUAAUGAGAGACUAUACAUGCAUGCUUCGGGAAUCACAAACCUUAGCACCAAUAUUCUUACUAACCACAAUCGUUCACUAGUACCCCCCACAUAUUCCAUCUCUAUAUCGCAAAAAUAUUGCAAGGAAUCAAACAUAUCAUAUUCAGUGAUCCAUAAGUUUUAUGUAGGAUUUUAUGACUAACCAUGCAAUUGACCAAUUCCUGUUGACUCUCUAAACAGAUAUAAAUGAAGCAUGAGAGUUUAAUUCUUUCUACAAAAGAUCAUGCUCUAACAAAUAUAAGUGAAGAAAAAAAGCAUUCUACAAAUAACAGUUUUCUAUGUGAAGAGAAACAGGCAAUCCAAACUUCAGAUGAUAUAAGUGAAGCACAUGAAGAAUUUUAUAAAGCCAUACUCAAAUGAUAUAAGUGUAGUGCAAUGAGCAUUCUAUAAAAAAACAUGGACUAUCUCAUACCAGCAUGGUGCAUGAAAGAAAAGUGAAAACUAAAUGCAAAAGACGCUCCAAGAUUUACACAUAUCACGUGAACGAAAUGAAGACGAAAACAUACCGGUACUUGUUGGAGAGAGAUGGGAUGCCUUUCAGGGCAUCACCAAGCUUAGACGCUUGCGUCUCCUUGAAUAUUUACUUGGGGUUCCUUGGUCAUCCCCAAGCUUGAGCUCUUGCCUCUCCACCUUCCCCUCAUAUCGAGACCUCCUCGAUCUUUGAUAACUUCAUCCACACAAAACUCAACAGAAAGCUCGGUAAAAUCCGUUAGUAUAAUAAAGCAAAUCACUACUCUAAGUACUAUUUCAAACCAAUUCAUAUUUUGUUUUUGCAUUUUAGCUACUGUAACAUAAAUUUUCCGUGGCUUAUACCACCGAUAGAAUCAAUAGUUUCAUCAAAACAAGCAAAACAAUGCAUCAAAAACAGAAUAUGUCUUAAACAGGACAUUCUAUACCAAUCUGAACAUCUACCAUACUUCAGGUACUCCAAAAAUUCUGAAAAAUUAGGACAAAAUAAACAAUUUGUAUAGAAAUAAUGUGCAAGAAAGUUUCAGAACCUUUUGACGUUCCAGUAAAAAAAUGAAAAUUCAUGCGCUACAACAAAAGUUUAUGUUUCUGCACCGCACAUACAAACAAGCAAUCGAAUAAUCCUAAAGGCAAACCUUGGCACAAUAAUUUUACAAUACAAAGGAUUUGUAUAAGGGGAUAAUUAUUUUUUUUUGAAAAUUUUCUGUAAUUGAGAUUCACAAAGUUUCCAUGGGCAUGAAAAAGUUCAAGGAGCUCCCCCACUUCAACAAUGCUUGUCGCCUCACUUUCACUUUCCUUUUUGUGAAGUUUUAAGUUCCCCUCUAUAUUUUUUGUUUUUAAGCUUUAUAAAAGCACUCAACAAAAAUAAAAUGACUCUCUAAAACUUCUGGGUUGUCUCCCUGGCAUCGCUUUCUUUAAGCCAUUAAGCUAGGCAUAAAGUGCUCAAGUAAUGAAUCCACCCGGAUCCCAAGGUAUAUCAAAGCCAAUUUUAAUUAGCAAUGAUUUUGCAUUUAGUAGUGAGCACAAAGAAACAUAUAUCAUGCAAUUACGAAGUCUAACCCUCUUCCUAUGCAUCGGCAUGCCAUAUAAGAACAAUUCAUGCACAUCAAGUAAAGGCCAAUACAUAGCAUAAGUAGUUUCUUGCAAUUUUAUCGUGUUGGAAACAUAGAGAGGUGGAGAUGUAGUUCCUCUAUCAUAAUAAUUGCAUGUAGGAGCAGCAAGCACAUGCAUAUUAUAUUCAUCAAAAUCAUCAUGUGCAGCGGUAAAAGGCAACCCAUCGAUAUAAUCCUUAAUAAGAACAAACUUCUCCGAUAUAGUGUAGUUUGGAGAAUUCAAAAAGAUAAUAGGACUAUCAUGUGUGGGUGCAAUAGCAACAAUUUCAUGUUUAACAUAAGGAACAAUAGCAAGUUCAUCUCCAAUAGCAUAAUUCCUAUUGGCAUCAUGGCCACAAGCAUAGCAAGCAUCUAGUUCAUCAAAGAGGGAUAUUUCAAAUGAAUCAAUGGGAUCAUAGCAAUUAUCAUAGCAUUCAUCCUUUGGUAAGAACGAAGGGAAAGUAAACAAUGUAUGAGUGGAAGAGUUACUCUCAUUAUAAGGUGGACACGGGUAGCUAAUCCGCUCUUCCUCCUAUUGUUUUUCACUCUCCUCAUCAUCUUUUUCAUGCACUGAGUUCACAGUUUCAUCAAUUUCUUUUUCCAUAGACUCCUGCAAAAUAUUAGUCUCUUCUUGGAUAGCGGAGACUUUCUCAAUAAAUUCAUCAAUAUCGGAAUUGUAUUUAUAAUUAUCAUAGCCAUAUUUACGGAUGGAAAAAAUUUCAGGCCUAUAAACAUCAUCAUAAAAAGCUUCAUACUUUUCAAACAAAGAUUCAAUUUCUUAAGGACCCUUAAAAGCAUCAAAUUCUUCUAUUUUUUCCACAUCAUAAUAAUCAUAUCUACCAUUGGCAUAAGAAGCAAAGGUUUCAUUAUCAUUAAAUUUGCAUGAAAAGGGAAGGUGUGGAGCAUUCAUCCUGGAGCAACAAGUAAAAUUAUAUCUCUAGCAUAAAUUCCAAGCAUACCAAUGCAACAUAUCAAUUUGAUCCCAUAACAAUUUCCCUUUUUGUGUCAAGCGAUAAUCCAACAUUACUCCCAUUAUCAAGUUGAAAGGGGUUUUCUUAGGAUUAUCAAAGUAGUGCAUUGACUACGGCUGCAACGCGAGCGGCUAUAAAAGGGCACCAUUUCCUCAUCCCUCUCACACUCAUCUCUCAAGCCUCCUCCGCUUCUUCUUUUUGAGCCAAAUCCACCACUGGAGCCACCAUGCAGUUCAACGGCCCUACCUAUUGUCGCCCUCGCACCGUGCCGGAGAGGGAGUACCCGGCCGGAGUCAUCGUUGAGAAUAGCCUGAGGGUGUGGGCCAUCUCAAGGUGGAGGGGCCCUAGAGAUUUGACUCGCUUCUUCCUCCAAGCUGGCUACCGCCACCUCCCUCCAGGCACUCCCCCCAUGUUCCACCUCCACGAGGUGUACGAUGGGGCUGACGUCAACAGCAUCGUCAUCGGCCUCUACAUCACCUUUACCAGCCCCUACGACGCUUACCACCUCCUCGGCCAGGUAUUUUCGUGUGGAUGUGAGUUCAUCGCGUUCACCACCUACAACAUCUUCACCAAAUUCCACCACAUCUUCCCCGCGGCCAACAACAUGCACACCCUCCCCUACCAGAUGCCAGAGAACGACGAGUGAGGGGCGCCGGCUAAGGAGGGGCCAAGGAGUUGUUCGUGUGUUCUGUUGGCCGGGUCUUUCUAUCUAGCUUGUGUUGUGUUGGUUUGGGCAUGUGUGCCCGUGUCUUCUAUCUAGUUUUAAUUAUUUUCCUUUCAUGUUUUAUGCACUAUAUGUUUUAAGGGGAUUCCCCUCUAUAUGUUGUAAGGGGAUGCUACUAGGGUACCCGAUGCCCCUCUAUCGUGCUAUCUAUUAAUGUAUUUUCGGGCCUAAAGUUUCUUCAUUGCAUUUUAUUUAUGUGGCCAUGUGAACUUAAAAAUGCACUAAAACAUGAUCCAAUCAUAAAAGUUGUUGUUAGCACGUGUCUAGUUAAUUAUUUUCCUUUUAUGUUUUAUGCACACGAGUAAAAACUUUGAAAACACCGUAGCUCAAACCAAAAAAAAUUAAAAAUGGUGCAUGGUUCAAAUACUCCCUCCAUGCAGGUGCAUAGGGCACCUAAGAAAAAGCUCUGCAAUUUAGGUUCCACCAGGCCAACCUUGUUGCAAUCACUUGCCUAAUCACCGUUGGUUUCCUAUGCAUGCAUUGGAUAUUUCCCUCUUUGCCAGCCAUCCAUAAUUAAUCACCGGAGGAAAGAAGCGGCAGUUAAUGCAUAUUACGACUUAGACUUCCCAACACACCAGGACAGAGGAAGUAAACUAGAACUAAACAAUUGCAAUGUUUUUGGUUCACAAAGACUGCAAGUUAGACUGCUAACUAGAACCAACCUUUUGUUUUAGCCAAAACAACACGGGACCCUACCAUCGGACACGAUAGCUUGUGCAUAAAAAUAGCUCAAAUAAUUAUCAGAUGAGUUAUCUCAAAAAGAUGACUGCAGGAAGCUUAAAAUUUGUGAAAUAACCUAAGCCGAAAAGAUAUAUCGAUGUCAAUGACCAUGUGCACUUUUUUUGCACCAGCUACACAUUUUUUUAUCAAUAGGCCUGGAUAUGUUCUAUUCGGCCCUGCCUACCUUCUAUAUGGGCCUGGCCUUUUCAGGCAACUGUCGACGAACCUUUUUUUUCCUUUUCUCCCUCUACCACUGAAACUACCCCUGAACUUGAAAUCGAUGACGAACUGCAGAAGUGAAUAAACGGGGCUGAAACAGAGUGGAGAAGACAUGCCGAAUUCGUAUAGCGCAACACUUUUAUUCAAACAUCCAUAUCAUUACGAUUACAAAUGAUGCCCAAUCUAUUCACUCACGACUAAUUAUCAUCACAUAAACAAAUGCGAGAGCAAUUACACAAACAUAAAAAAUUCCGGCCAUCAGAUUGCCCUGCUUCUUCAAUUCGACGAGUUUCUUCAUCUGCUUGUUCAGCAUCUUCAGCUCUGCCGUCCCUCAUGCAUCCUCCACAGUAGCACCAAUAGAAUUGCCAGAUCCACGGGCCCCAGAUCCAGACUUGGCCCAAUCCAAACUUCUCCGCCUCCAACGGUAAAUCAAGCUCCCCUGAUGCACCCUCCAGUUGAAUCCGCUCUAUGUACUCAUCUAGCCACUCAAAAUGGGCGCAUUGCUUCAAUUUCUGAAAUCGAAAAGAUGAACCCUAAAUCCCAAAUCCAAUGAAAAAUAUGAAAUUGGGAGACAAAAACCAAAAUUGGCAUAUUGAGAAGUUAAAUCUCACCUUACCCUGCUCUUGUUUGCUCUCGCAUUUCACGAAUUCCCGCCCAAGGUUGCCAUUCUUGCUGGUCGUUAUGACUAGCCGCUUCAGGGGUGCGGUACGUGGGCAUGCAGGGCACCUUGUCAUGGGCACUGCGCCAUAGCGCGGCCAUGAGCGGCAGGAGGCUGAAGCAGAGCUCGACAUUGCUAUGUCGCGGCCCGGAACAACGUUGUUGCGCGUCGUAGCUGGAGAAGAAGAAGAACAACGGUCGACGAGCAGGGCGAGGAUGGGGGGCGGGCUCGGCUGCUGCACGGCUCAUUGUCCUUUUUUGUACCAAUGCUGGGUUGGAUAAGUUAGUGGGUCCCAUGCUGUGGGUCCCGUUUUGUUACGUACCAAUGCUGAGCUGGAUAAGUUAGUGGGUCCCAUGUUGUGGGUCCCUCUUUGUUAUGUACGGGCUCACCUGAUUCGAAUUUUAAACCCUAAUUAGGCAGCAGUGUCGCACGGCAGCUAUUUUUUGCAACGCAGGUGUCGCAUGAGAGCCAUUAUAGCCAACGACGUCGCAUGAGAGACAAUUGAACUCAACGACGUCGCAUGGGAGCUAUUCGCCUGUUUUCGGAGACAGGCGAGGGCACCGCCACCGGGGAUGCAGCCGCCGUGAAGUGGCCCUCCAGGGACUCCGACGCCUCUCUCUCGGCCGCCGGGGUGGGGGCGGUGGUGGCCAUGCGGCGUACCUUGGGCCAGGGUGCCAGCACGCUGGGUGCGAGGGCGGGGGAGGGGGAGGGGCAGCGAGGGGGUGUUCCUCUGAGUCGUUGGUUGCGAACAUGGUGCUGGUCGUGCUAGGGCUGGCCAUCAUGGUCGAUGGCUCUUCGGUGAUGCGUGGAGAGAAGGAUGAGGAUUAUUUCAUGCGGCCGGAGAAGAAGCAAAGAAUGAGGGGCGAGAGGAUAAGAAUGAGAUAGCUAAAGCCUCCUGGCCGCCCUGCUUGCGCUGCCUGGGGAUGGAUGGAAAUAAACGCCAGCGGCAUUUAUCGCUCGGCAUUAAAUAUGUUACAAAAAAUCUAGAAAUUUAUUAACCAAAUGUUCUCCCAUACUAGAUAUCUUAGCAUGCGGUUUAAUAAUAACUGCCUAGUAUUUGUGUUUGUACCUCAAUCGGUUCUGGGGUUCGUCUCCUCUCCAGUUAAGUGUUUACUGUACAAGUGCAGUAGCAUGUACGAUGGGCCAUCACUAUGAUUGGUAGAACGAACGAGGGGACAAUCAGACAUGUGCAAGAAAGCUAAAGUGCAAAUUACACCGGGUGGAAAGAUCAAGGUCUUACUAAAGCUGCGAGGAAGGUGUUGGCUACAAUUGUCGUGUGCGAUGCACCGACCUACACAAUGAGCUGCUUCCAGUAACCAAAGAAUAUGUGUCGGAACCCGACUUCUAUUUCUUUGAAGUCGUGGUGGGGAGGUACAAAUGGUGAAUGGAAGAUGCAUUGGGUGGCUUGGGACAAAAUGUGCAUGAGCAAGAGAGACGGAGGUAUGAGAUUUAGAGAUUUUCGGGCAUUCAAUCAAGCCCUACACUACUAGGGAAAAGGCUAGCAGCAGUGCGGGUUUUAGGUGUAUCAGUAGCACGGGGAGUGGCGCUACAGCUAACACAUAGCAGUAACGCGUGCUCACCGGCGCUACUGCUACACAGUGUAGCAGCAGCGCGGUUAGUGGAAGCUCGCUACUGCUAGUAUUUCUAGCGCGCUUUGCCUUGACGCGCUACUGCUAUCGCGGCGCUGCUGCUAACUUUUAUACACUCACUACUGCUAAUUUAAGUAGUUUUUUGUUUUUUUCGGCAUAUUUAUUUUGUAUUUGAACAGGCUUUAUAGUAGAAUAUUUAGCACAUAGAAAUGUCAUGAUGAUACACAUACAAAUGCCUGCGAGACCACAAAUGUAAUCAUAGCAUAUACAUACAAAUAGUCUCAUCAUAAUCAUCAUCCAACACAAAGUGGUAUCUUGUCAUCAUCUCGAAAAUAGCGAUACAUGCAAGUCUCGAAUACUUGCAACUACAACAACGUCAUCCAUCUAAACAAAGGUAGAUGCAAGAAGAGCUAUCACUAUGAGUGAGAGCGGAACUAUGCAGUACAUGAGGUGGCAGUUACGAGUCCUCUCUUGCGCUAGCGUGAACCUCAAGUAACUAGCUUCUCCUUCUUGUCUGCUUUUGAAGCCUUUAUGGCUGGCGCCUGUGAAUCCAUUCACUUGAGCCUGACACUCAUGCCACUCGUUGUACACCCCCAGAACCUUCCCUUUGUACACGACAUAGCAAUUCCAUCUCACCAUCAAGAAACUAGGUGCCUGUUAGAGAUGCAUGUUCAUGAAGAGGAUGUACAAUCAUAUAUAUCCAACAAAAUAUACUAGAGCAACACCGAAAAAGAACGGGUUAGCAACUAGAUGCAACAUACAAUAUGUAAACUAACAAAGUAGCUUUACGCAAGUUCGGCAGGGACCGUCGACAUCACAAAGUUUCAUCGCUACAAAAAGUAUACAGGUUCAACCGACACAUAUCAUCAUCAUCGGCAUCAUAAAUCACUAGAAGUUCCAUCCUUCCAUAUCAUCGAGGAUGAACCCUAGCUUCUUGAACGGCGUGAGGUCUAGACGUUGCAUGCCUAUGCGAGUUCGGACGUCAGCUCACGAUAUAGGGCCGUGGUGGAACAUCCCCUUCUCAUCGACGACUUCUUUCAUGAUGAUCGUCGCAAUGUCUCUUUGGAUGCGAAAGAAGUCAUCUCUAAGUUUAUAAUCCGCUUCUCCAUGAGAUUCUAGCCCCUUGUGGAUAUGAUCAUCAUUUCUGCUUCUCAUGCGAAGCUUUUGGUGAUCCGUGUUGAACUGAAUCAUGAGAUGGACGAUGUAGAAUCCAUCCUUCUUGCUUGGUUUUGGGACAUGGAUGCAGGAGAAGUUAGUUUUAUGCGCGAAACCCACACAAGUAGAUAAAGGGGCUUUUGUCCCGGUUGGUAAGGCCAUCUUCUUGUUCCUUUGUUUCCUGAUCUGCACGUAGCCACCUCUAAAGCUGAAGCCUUGGAGAGCAUCAUCUAGAAUAUUCAUUAUGUGGGUGUAGUCUUUUUUUCUCGUAGUCUCUGGAAGGGUCAAAAUACACGGCGUGGGAGACUUGCGGGUAAAGAACGAUAAGGACGGCGCGCCCGUUGCUGUAGGGAAAAGACACCUCAAAUUAUUCCCCAUAUGAGAGAGAAGGAAUGAUUGAAAUGUACGAAAGGGUUGUCCGGAACUGACUUACUUUGGAUGAUAAGGCACGAAGACAAUUUCCCGGUCCUUAUUCUGUACCAUUAAGUUUUGGAGGUACUCCCUAGCAGUUUCACGCUCAAAGUCGCUGAGACUCAAGAAAGACUCGUGCAUGUAGUACGGAUCCGCCACACAGAUUUGCGAGACUUCUUCACUCUUCAUGACGGAGCUCAUAUGUAGCGCAAAAAGAUGGGCGAUUGUAGCCACGGCUCUGGGAGACCCGCGGCUUCACGUUCCGCGUCCUCCUUAUCCCAUAUGGGCCUUUUACCAAGGUAUCCACGGCUUCCGAGGCGAUGCUUCCCUGUGUUCCUUUGUUGAAGGCUCUUGAAUUUCGCAGCCUUAGCCUUGGCUGCCUUGGUAGCGCAAGUGUCCUUGAACUUUUCGAACUCCUCUUCCGUAAGUGUCGGAUUUUCCUCCAGAAUCUUGGACAGGGGUUCAUCAGCCUCAAUAGCUCGUUUCACCCUCCCUUUCCAGGAGGCCAAAUAAUUGAUGAACAUGCCCAUGGCGUGAUUGUUAAUCUUUUUCAUCUUCGGAUCAUUCCACGGUUGUUCUAUGUUAUCAUCCCGGUCGGGGAACUUGAAUCUCUUGUGCAACUUCGUUAGGAGCAACUGCGUCAAAUGUUCUUUACUCCUUAAGUCAUCGUCGUUGAUGCUCGCGCAUUCCCAUAGGCUGCAUCCUAGUUGGUUCCCAUAGCACUUGCCAGGUUCUUCCGGCUCUAACGGCUCAAACUUGCCAGGUGCCAUCUUUGUGAUCACAAGUCGUCCAAUCCCUAGUUUGUUAGGUUUUCGUAUCCUCUGCUUCUUAAGCUUCCUCUUUUCGGUAGCGGCAUCGGGGCCGGUACCUUCCACGCCGGUAUCUUCCCCGUCGGUACCUUCCCCACCGGUCUCGGCGCCGCCAUUGGUGCCGGCGCCGUCGGUGUCGAUGUCGGCGUUAGUACCAUCAUCGAGGCCGACCUGCAAACCUUGCUUAGCAGUCAAAUAGUCGAGGUACUCUUGUUCACCCUCAUAAUCCAACUCGUCUGCACCUUGGUCAGAAGGCCCAGUUCUUCGUUGUUCGACAUGUUUCCUAUGAUUAAGUGUCCUCAUUUAUUUCUAAAAGUAUGAAUAAAUGAGAAAUGACAUAAAAAGAAAUCUAUGUGCCAGCACUCGAUAUGCCAAUUAUGUAUCACAAAUCAUGCCUUUAUUCACGGGAAAUUUCGGUAUGACCUUUGCUAAAAAUGGACAUAUCGAGUGCCUGAAAUUCACCGGAACGGAAAUGAAUCAACAUUCCGGCGUAACAUAGGCCACUCGGAUCAUUUUCCAAACAUGACAUGUCCAAAACAUGACAUAUCCACAUAUCACAUGUCCAGUUCAAAUUUGCAUAUAAAUUCAGCUAAUUUUGAAACCUAGCUAAAUUCAUAACUAAAUAGAUAACCUAAUUAACAUACUGCCCUACCUAAAACCUAAGUAAAUUAACCGAAGAACCCUAGCAGAGAGAGGGGGGGUUACAUAGGGUGCAGGGGCGAGGAGGCAGGCCCGACGAUGGCUGAGGUUGGGAGGGGAGGAAGCAAAGGAGGGAGGCGAGGGUCGACGGGUCGGGGGCGAGCGCCUGGAUCGGGGGCGAGCGCGGGCGCCGGGGUCGGGGGCGAGGGCCGGGUCUGGGGCGAGCGACGGGGGAAGAGAGAGUGGGGAUUUGGGGGAAAAGGCGGGAUGAAGCAGGGAUAGUGAGAAUUUUGGGUUAAGUGGACGUAGCAGCAGCGCGUUUGUACAAAAUGCGCUGCUACUACCUUCAGUAGUUGUAGCAGUUUAUAUGAAAUGCGCUACUACUACCUUCAGUAGUUGUAGCGGUUUAUACGAAAUGCACUACUACUACUGCCAGUUUUACUUUUUCUUUUCCUUUAUUUUCUCCCAAUUUUAUUUCCCGAGAGCAAUGAACGAAGGGAGGGCGAUAUAUAUUGCAUCAUUUGACGGUUAAAUAUGUAUGCAAAAUAGGAACAUAUAUAUUACAUCAUUGGACCCAUGCAUAAUAAUGGCUAAGUGUGUAUACAAAAUAGGAACAUAUAUAUAUAUAUAUAUAUAUAUAUAUAUAUAUAUUAUAUAUUACAUCAUUUGACCGGUAACAUACGGUUCCUCAGCGCUGACGUUUUCGUUUUUGAGUCAGCUUCGUUCCCUUCUUGUUCGUCGAAGAAUAAUUGAGCCCCUCAUUGUGACGAUUUUUCUUAGGUAAUGUAGUAUUAAUUCUUCUUUUGACAUAUACUUCAUCAUCAUCGUCAUCUUCCCUCAUUGGGUUGCCGUACUGAUCAUAGUCUUCCUCGUUGGUGACUCCAUCCAUUCCAAUGAUGUUCCUUUUGCCUCUCCUCACGACAACACGACUGGGAUUGCAUGGGUCGGUUAUGAAGAAGCAUUGAGUCACGUGCUUAGCGUGUACCCAUGGCUCGUUUUUUGCGAUAGCGUUCACGGUAGCGCUCUUGGCAUCGGGUAUACUCAUGGUAGUGAAAAUCCGGUUUUCUCUUUCGACAUUCUUUGCCCAUCUGACACGGAACAUCGUCAUGUUGUGCAGUCCAGAGUAGUCAAGCUCCCAGAUCUCCUCGACCCUUCCACAAAAUUGUUCAAUUGCGCCGUUGUCGCUGCCGGUCAUGCAUUCCAUCGUCACCCCUGAGUUCUGAUCAUCACUGUCCAUAUCUUUGGCCUCCGUGUAGAACGUGUAUCUGUUGAUAUCAUAUGCCUGAUAGGUUACGAGGUUGGGCGAGGGGCCAUGUGCUAAGGCGUAUAUGAGCAAUCCGUCCUUAGAUCCCUCCUCCGGCGGAUUAGCAAUAAUAUGCUCUUUCAACCAAUGCAGGAAAGUGGAGUUGUGCUCUCUAGUAACUUCGGCGUUCGUCCUGCAUACCCCCUGGUCACGAUACUUCUUUGCGAUAAUUUCUUUGUGCAGUGCCACGAAAGGAUCUACCUCGUCUAGGUGUUGUAGCACUAACAAGUUUGCUCUGUCAAAGUCACUGCGUCGAUCUGACUAUGCCACGUGCAGUUCCCUGCAACCGUUGCAGUGACCAUCUCCUUCGAGCCUUCCAUCGUGCUUGUUAACGGGCAAACCAACACUAACACCAGGCGGUUGGUCUGCGCCAUAUAGAAAAUCCUCACAGAAAGAGAUGCACUCUUGUGUCAAAUAGCCCUGGACGAUGCUUCCAUCCGGACAGGACAUGUUACGAACGAAUCCUUUGAUGAUCCCAUUCAUCCUCUCAAACGUCAUCAUGUUGUGCAGGAAUGACGGCCCCAGGUCUAUUAUGUCAUCCACAAUAUGGACACACAGAUGCACCAUCACGUCAAAGAACGCGGGCGGGAAGUACAUCUCAAGCUAAUUCAGUAUCACAACGAUCUCUUCCUAUAGCCUUCGGAGCUGCUUCACGCUGAUCGACUUUCGAGAGAUGAUGUCGAAAAAGUUGCAUAGACCAAUAAGCGUGUCAUGGACGUCCUUGUCCAUUAUCCCUCUAAGGGCAACAGGUAGUAUCUGCGUCAUCAUCACAUGACAGUCACGAGACUUCAUCCCGCUGAACCUUUUCUUGUCCGUGUCUAGAUAUCUGCUUAUCUUGCCAUAGUAACCGUAACUAACUUUGACUCCGGUAAGGCACUUAAAGAAUUGAUUGAUCUCAGCCUGACUUAAGGUGAAGCAAGAAGGGGGGAAAUAAUCCUCUUUCUUUAUUUUCUUGCCCUUCUUCUCCCGUGCCUCUGUCUCCGUCUCUGUCUCGUCUGACAUUUUACGGGGCGGCAUGUGCAGAUCUUCCCUGAUUUUCAAAUCUUGCAAGUCUUUUCUUGCCUUUGGCCCAUCCUUGGUCUUAUCCGGCAUGUUCAUCAGUGUUGCGAGCAAGCUCUCAAGGACAUUCUUACAGAUAUGCAUUCGAUCAAGGCAAUGAGGUGUAUCGAGUCUGUGCCAGUACGCCAAGUCCCAGAACACAGACCUCGUCUUCCAUACCUUCAGCAGCGGCUCCGGCGCCUUUCUCAUCGUCUUUCCCGGCGCGGGGCACUCCUUCCAGUUUUUCAACAGCUCAUCGAUUUCGGCACCGCUCCGCUUACGUGGAGGUCCUCGAUGCUCAGCGUGACCAUUGAAUAGAUCUCCAUGGUUUCUCCACGGGUCCUCCUGUUCAAGCCAUCUUCGAUGCCCGAUGUACACAAUUUUCCCAGACCCGCCAUCUUUCCUUAACGUUAGCUGCUGAGACGUCAUAUCAUCUAUGCACCGCGUGCAUCCGCAAUAUCCAUGGCACACCUGGCCUACCACAUAUCCGUAACCGAGAUAGUCCUGCAGUGUCGUGAUCUGCGCGGCUCUCAUGUUGAAAUACUUGCCUUUGCUGGCGUCCCAUGUCUUGGCCGGUGUUUUCCAUAACGUGUCUAACUCCUCUUGAAGUAGCCCCAGAUACAAAUUAAUAUUAUUUCCUGGUUGUUUCGGCCCUUGAAUAAGCAUUAUCAUGUGAAUGUACUUCGAUUUCAUGCACAACCCGGGGGGGUUAUACAUCCAUACAAACAUGGGCCAUGUGCUAUGGUUGGUGUUCUGGUUGCCAAACGGAUUCAUGCCAUCGGUACACGUGCCGAGCACGAUCUUGCUUGCAUCACAUUCAAAAUACCGAUAGAAGCUGUUCAACGCUCUCCACUGGCUUCCAUCCUUCACGUGUCUCAGCUUCGGAUCAUCUCCAUCGUCGGGCUUCUUCCUCUCCGUGUGCCAGCGCAUUAGCUUUGCUUCCUUGGGAUCUACAAAAUACCUCUGGAGAUGGGGAGUGAUCGGUAAGUACCAUACAACUUUCUAGGGACAUUUCUUCCCGGCCUUCUUGUAUCGAGAAGCAUUGCACAGCGGACAGCUUGUUUUUUCCGCAUGCUCCUUCCGAUAAAUUAUGCAAUCGUUGAUGCAUGCAUGGCCUCAUCAACACUAGUAGGACAUAGAUUACACGCGGGAAGAACAUCCUUUAGGUACUGGAGAUGCACAUCGAGGCUAGUGUCGGUCCAUUUGUUUUUAGCCUUCGUCUUCAGGAGUUGGAGCUUGAAACUCAAGCGGGUCACCUCAGGAUUGCAACCAUCAUAUAAUGGAGUGUUCGAGUCUACCACCAGUUGCUCCAGCUUAGCCUCCUCUCUAGAUGCAGCUCUCUCAGUACUCGUCUCCUUGCGAAGCAAUGCUUGAACAUGAGGGUCACGCACGAUUGAACUUAGUACCGACGAACUCUGCUGCAUGGAGUCCAUGUCGUUCUCUCCUCUGCCAUGUCUGGCCCCUUCUCCUCUGCCAUGUCCGGCCUCUCCCCCGCCGCCAUUAUCAAUCAUCUCUUCUUCUUGCCCCGUGUCAUCAUUGCGUGCCCCGUCGGCAUCCUCAACAUCGUCAUCCUCAUCUUCAGUUAUCCACCGAGUAUAGCCAUCCAUGAAACCAGUCAUGAGCAGGUGCGCUUCGACACGACCAUCGUCAUAGGGGUCGAGCCAAACUAUUCCUUUGCAUUUUCGACACGGACAUAAAACCUCCGUCAGGUUAUUUUCUUUCAUGUCCUGCACAGCCGACCCCAACCACCUGUUCACCAUCGUUCCACUGACCAUCAUGAACGUCUGCACGGUAAUAAUAAAACAAAUUGAUUAUAAAAAUGCGUGCAUGCAUCAAAGUCAUACAAAAAUUCGGCAUGACCUUCCCUAAAAAUAGGACAUAUAUGGAUCUAGAGUUUGCCCAGAAUUCGCCGAAAUGGAAAUAAAUCGACAUUUUUGCAAAACAUAGGCAACUCAAAAGCACAAUUUGGCGUCAACUCAUGCCACACACACAAUUUCCACAAACAUAUCACACACACAUAAACAUAUUUCCAUUUUGCAAAAGCAUGAAAUUUUCAUCACCUCUAUCUCGAGAUCGAGCACACGGUGGAGACGAUGUUGUAGGGAGAUCAAAAGUGCACAAAGCUCUUCUUGACAAAGAUAGAUCUAGUUAGGGGGCAAAUAGGUCACUUAACUAAAUCUUACAUCUACCUAGCUACCUAAUUUGGGAGGAGACAACUUCAACUAGUGGAGGGGAAGGAAAAAGAGAAAGGAGAUGCAUUAAUGGAGGUGGUGUAGUUAGGUAGGAGUAAUGAAGAGAGAGAAAGGUAGAUAGAAGAGAGAGAGUAAUGGGGGACAAGUAUUAAGGAAGAAGAAGAGUGAGAGUGCGAGGUAGGGGAAACGGAAGAGAGGAGGGGGAGGGGGACAGUGGGGAAAAAGGUGGUGGGUUGGUGCGGAUUAGCAGUAGCGCGGGACAUAAAAUGCGUUGCUGAUAAGAAUGUAGCAGCAGCGCGCUUUUGGCAGAAGCGCUACUGCUAAGUGGGAUAAAAGUGUGUCCAAUUUGAAAAUUAGCCGUAGCGACCUCAAAAAAACCACGCUACUAAUACUGCUUUAGCAGUAGCGCGCCUAACGGAACCGCGCUGCUGGUAAAUGGAGUUGGGGGCAUUGUCGGUCGAUAUUUGUAGCAGCGCGGGUUACACAGACCGCGCUACUACUAAACACUUGUCGGUAGCGGGUUUUCCACACCCGCGCUGCUGCUAAUUAGCAGCAGCGCUCCUUUUUGAGCCGCGCUGCUGCUAAGAUUCUGUGUAUAGGGUUUUCCCUAGUAGUGCUAGCUACUAGAAAAACAAGGAUGGGGAAUUCUUAUGGUGCCUCAGUGUCACGUGAAUGCCAAGUCACCCGGCCCAGCAGGGCCGUCCCAAGCGAGGGUGUCGGCCCAAUCGCAGGGAGAGGACUGGGUCCAGUGAGUGUGUAUUUAGGGGUUGCGUGUGUGGAGUGCAGGGCAUCGUUGGAUCACUAAUCUGUAUCGGCUCCGUUGGGCAAUCUCCUUCCCCCCACCUCCUGGCUCUCUCCCCGAUCCCCUUUCUUGCUGCCACGAACCCUAGCUUCAAUUUGUACCUCUGAUCUGAUGACUGAGUGAAUCAAAAAUACAAGUGGGAGACCUAGAUCCGUGUCAUCUGGUAUUCAGAGCCCUCGAUCCCCACCCAAAAUUUUCCUCUUCGCGUCUUGAUCUGGCGCCGCCGAAAACCCGCAGCAUCAGGGAGAUCAUGGCGGGGAUGGACGUUCAGAAGCAGCUGGAGGAAGCAGCGAUGGAGCGGAGCGGCAUCGCUAAGGCCCUCCUCUCGAUCCAGCAAACGCUGGAUCGGAUGGCUCCUGCGGUCGUGAAGAUGGAGCCAGCGGUCGCGAAGAUGGAGCCGACGCUCGUCACCCUUGAGCCGGUCAUCCAGCACCUCGCAGCCUGGCGGCCUACCGUGGAUGCGGCGGUGGGAGAGCUUCAGGCAUACCUCGGCGACAUUUGAGCGCAGCUAGAGAGGAUCGCUGCGGGUGCCCCGUCCACCAGCAAGCCGACCCCAGAACCGGUUCAGGCGGACGCGCCACUUCUCCACAUCGGGCAGAGUGACGACGGUCACGAGAAAAUUGGCUACUGUGGGGCUCUCCUUCCACGGGUUUCGGCUAGUGAGGGGCCGCUCCUCACUACGCUGGUCCCGGCCAAUGGUACGUACCGGACCCCAUUCCCCUCUGCACCUCUACCGCCUCCGCCGUCCUUGGACUUGGUGGGCAGUAGCACUAGUUUUGGUGGAAGUAGAUCCAACAACAAACAUAUGGAGUGUCCAGAGUUUGAUGGUGACAACCCCACCGGCUGGCGUCUCCGUUGUGAGGCCUAUUUCCGCGUCGGUGGCAUUGACCCGCAGGUGUGGGUGGACACUGCCGUUGUCCACUUCACCGGGGCAGCGGCCUUGUGGCUGGAGUGGUCUCAGACUCAAUUGAGAAUCACAUGGUGGGAUCCGUUUUGCGCCGCUGUGUUGGACAAAUUCGGUCGCUCAGAAUUUCAUUUACUGCUGUGAAAAGUUUCUAAACUGAAGCAAGCGGGUUUUGUGUUAGAAUAUGCCGAACAAUUUAACAUAGCAAUGCAUAGCUUGUUGGCGCAUCAUAGCUCUUGGGAUCCUCUGUUUUUCACCACUCAUUUUGUGUAAGGGCUCACUCAUGAUAUCAAAGUAGCUGUCAUGUUACAUCGACCUCCCGACUUGGAAACUGCUAUUUCUCUUGCUGCUUUACAGGAAGAGGUGGUGGAGAUGGUCUGCCAACAACAUGAAGGAAUGGGGGCAUACCGUGUCGGGGCCUCCAACACGCGCUCGACGCGCUCCCCGUCGAGGCCUCCUUCAGCGCUCGCCGUACCAACCACUUCCAUGGUGGGGCGCAUGGCAAACUCCACGCCAUCACCCACCGCUCUCGACACUCGUCGAGGUCUCGACAUCGCCAAAUCUCCAGUGGACGAGAAACUCAAGGCCCUGCGUACUUUUCGCAAGGCGCGCGGCUUAUGUUUCACUUGUGGCGAGAGAUGGAACCCAGGUCACACUUGUGUGGCUACCAUGCAACUUCAUGUUGUGGAAGAGCUUGUGGGCAUGCUCUCCCCACCAACAUCCCCAGAACCAGUCUCCGUCCAGAAUGAGAGCUCUGGGGAGGAUCUCUGCUUAUUGUCUGCGGCAGCAAUUGCUGGUACUGAAGCGCCCAAGGCUUUUCGGCUCACCGGCAACAUUGGGGGCAAGGUUCUGCUGAUGCUCAUCGACUCCAGGAGCUCCCACAGCUUCAUCAAUACAGAGAUUGCUCAAGCGUGGCCAGCCAUUCGUCCUAUGCAAGUGCCACUGAACGUGAAGGUAGCGGAUGGCGCCAUUACCAAUUGCACACUGGAGUUGCCUUGUUGUGAGUACUUGGUUCAGGGGGUCACAUUCAAUUCUGCUUUCAAACUUUUUCCCUUGGGAUUCUAUGAUAUAGUCCUCGGAAUGGAUUGGCUGGAGUCCAGAGGCAUUAUGACAGUUAACUGGUCUAAGAAACAAAUGUCAUUCCAACACAAUGGGCAAGUGGUUCACUUGUUAGGGCAAUCUCAGCAGACAGCGACAUGCAACAUGAUUUCUAUGGCACAGCUCAAUCUUUUGCAGUCCCGCAGAGACAUUGCUCACGUGCUCUUGCUAUCAGCGAGCAAACCAGAAGUGGAUCAGGCUCCGGUUCCUGCAGUUAUUGAGGAGCUACUUCAAGAAUUUUCGGGGCUGUUCAAAGAACACAGCAGACUGCCGCCUCAUCGAGAAUUCGACCACAUUAUUGAGCUCAUUCCUGGAGCCCAACCUGUCAACAGACGCCCAUAUCGGUACAGCCCAGCGCAAAAGGAUGAAAUUGAGCGGCAAGUGUCCGAGAUGUUGUGACAAGGUAUUAUUCAGCUCAGCCGCAGUCCCUUUUCGUCCCCGGUGCUUUUGGUUCAGAAAAAAGACGGGGAAUGGCUAUUCUGCAUCGACUAUCGCUUUCUCAACGCAAUCACCCUCAAAACUCGCUACCCCAUUCCAAUCAUUGACGAGCUUUUGGAUGAAUUACACGGGGCCAUGGUCUUCACAAGUCUGGAUCUGCGCUCUGGAUAUCAUCAGAUUCGGAUGCGCCCUGGGGACGGAGCUAAAAUAGCGUUUCAGACACAUCAUGGGCAUUUUGAGUUCAAAAUGAUGCCACAGGGGGUCACUGGCGGGCCUUUUACGUUCCAGUCAGCUAUGCAUAUAGUUCUCAAACCAUUUGUGCGCAAGGGGGUCCUGGUGUACAUUGACGACAUUCUCGUCUUUAGUGCAACUCUGAAGGAGCACGUGUUGCUGUUGCGAGCCGUGUUCCAAAGACUGGAGCAGUAUUCUCUCAAGGUUAAGCUGACGAAAUGCGCCUUUGCACAGCCACAACUCCGAUACUUAGGCCAUGUCAUCAGUGCGGAUGGCGUGCACAUAGAUCCAUGUAACAUCGAGAAGGUGCAACAAUGGUCUUCACCAUCGUUUGUUAAAGAGCUCUGUCAGUUCCUUGGUUUGGCAGGCUACUAUCGCAAAUUUGUUUGCCACUAUGGAGUGAUUAGUCGCUGCCUUACAGAGCUACUGAAGAAAGGUGUGCCCUUUGUGUGGACAGCAGAUCAUGAGCAAGCAUUCGGAUCUCUCAACACGGCGCUGACCACAGCCCCUGUACUGGCGUUGCCUAACUUUGCCAAGCCGUUCGUGGUGGGGACAGGUGCGUCCAACAUUGGGAUUGGCGUUGUUCUGAUGCAACAACAGCACCCAGUGGCCUUCCUCAGCCAAGCCUUGGGUCCGCGACAUCGGGCACUGUCCACAUACGAGAAAGAGUGUCUCGCCAUCCUGAUGGUAGUAGACAGAUGGCGACCGUAUCUUCUUUUCUCAGAAUUCACCAUUCGCAUGGAUCAUCGGAGCCUCACUUGUCUGGACGAACAGAAACUCACAACCCCAUGGCAACACAAGGCACUAACCAAACUGCUUGGGCUGCAAUACAAGAUCGAGUAUCGGCAAGGGGCUAACAACUUUGCAGCGGACGCUCUGUCACGACAACCACCUGUUCAUGCAGUGGUAGCUGCGGUCUCAGUCUGUGUGCCCACCUGGCUAGAAGAUGUCAAGAAGGGCUAUAGGAAGGAUCAUGAUUGUUGUCGCAUGCUGGCCUCACAUGCACGCGGGGUGUCAUUGGCAGGGCCUUUCUCUGUCAUCGAUGGACUGCUUCGCUACAAAGGACGGGUCUGGCUGGGCAAUGAUGUGGAUAGCCAACAAAAGCCGCUGCAUGAACUGCAUGCAGGGGCGAUUGGAGGGCACUCUGGAGUGCAAGCAACCUACAGUCGAGUGAUCAAGCUCUUUGCUUGGCCCAAGCUCAAGAGCACAAUCAAGAAGUUCAUCGCUAACUGUUCCAUCUGUAAGCAAGAAAAACCCGAGCACGUUCGGUACCCCGGGCUACUUCAGCCUCUCCCCGUCCCCGAACAAGCUUGGGAGAUGGUUUCUCUGGAUUUUGUGGAAGGAGUGCCCACCUCCAUGGGAUACAACUCCAUACUCGUUGUCGUUGAUAAGUUGACUCGGUAUGCACAUUUUAUUCCACUUCGGCAUCCCUUCACAGCCCUCCAAGUGGCCAAGGCUUACAUGAACAAUGUUUUCAAGUUGCAUGGACCCCCAGAUAAGAUGGUAUCCGAUCGCGAUCGAGUUUUCACCAGCAAGGUGUGGCAGGAACUGUGCAAGUUGACCCAUACCACUCUUAACAUAUCUUCAACGCGCCACCCUCAGACUAAUGGUACCCCCGAGCGGGUGAAUCAAUGCAUGGAGCUUUAUCUACGCUGUUUCGUCCACAACUGUCCGCACAAGUGGGCAGAUUGGCUGGUGCUGGCCGAGUUCUGGUACAACACGUCAUAUCAUUCGACGUUGAAAACCUCUCCAUUCGAAGUCUUGUACGGUCACAAACCACGUUUCUUUAGGAUCACGAAUGUGGCCGACGACACCGUCAAGGAUCUGGCUGCGUGGACCCGUGACAGAGCAGCAGUGAUGGGUCUCCUGAAGCAACAUAUUCAUCGGGCGAAUCAAGUUAUGAAGAGCAAGGCUGAUAUGCACCGUUCGGAUCGAGUGUUUGUGGUCGGCGACCGGGUCUAUCUAAAGCUUCAGCCCUAUGCACAAUCUUCUGUGGCGGCUCGAGCUAACCAUAAAUUGGCUUUCAGGUACUUUAGCCCCUUUCAGGUCCUUGCUCGUGUGGGUAAGUGGUGUAUCGGCUAGCCCUUCCUGAUCAAGCCAAGAUACAUCCGGUCAUCCACGUUUUCCAGCUCCGAGCUGGGCUACCUCCUUCAAAAACGGCACUUCCUGAGCUACCCGUGCUGGAUCAGGACCUCCUUCAGCUGCAAGUUCCUGAAGCCAUUCUGGGGCGCCGGAAGAUAGCUCGCGGGACACGCACGGUCGAUCAAGUGUUCGUCAAGUGGUCAGGUUUCCCAUCAUCGCUCGCCUCCUGGGAUGAUGAAAUUCCUCUCAAGUCAAGAUUUCCCAGAGCAUUGGCUUGGGGACAAGCCAAAUCUCAAGGAGAGGGGAAUGUCACGGGAACGCCAAGUCACCCGGCCCAGUAGGGCCGGCCCAAGUGAGGGUGUCGGCCCAAUCGCAGAGUCCAGGGAGAGGACUGGGUCAAGUGAGUGUGUAUUUAGGGGUUGCGUGUGUGGAGUGCAGGGCAUCGUUGGAUCACUAAUCUGUAUCGGCGCCGUUGGGCGAUCUCCUUCCCCCCACCUCCUGGCUCUGUCCCCGAUCCCCUUUCUUGCUGCCACAAACCCUAGCUUCACUUUGUACCUCUGAUCUGAUGACUGAGUGAAUCAAAUACAAGUGGGAGACCUAGAUCCGUGUCACUCAGCCGCUAUGCGCUAGAGUGUUAAGGCCAGAUAUUUCCCUCAAGGAGAUUUCUGGGUGUCAAGAUGCUCGAACGGUUGUUCUUCCACUUGGAGGAGCAUCCUUUUCAGAAAAUGAUCUUGUACGUAUGGGCUUAAUCUGAAGAACUAGCAAUGGUUCUAGUAUUAGUAUUGCACACAAUAAUUGGAUCAGAACAGUUGGGUGCCUGAAAACACAAGUUGUUAGGCACACACAACAAAUCAGCCAUGUCAACGACUUACUAAAUUCGCAUGGGACUAGCUUGGGGAGGAGAGCAAAUUGGUUGUUCUUUUUACUCCCAAAAAUAUUGAUGACAUUAAGCAGAUUGCCAUUGGUGGACCAGACUCUGAAGAUUAUAUAACGUCAAAUUUUACUAGGAAUAGACAGUUUACUGUUUUCUUUGUGUAUCAUCUUUGCAUGGCACAAACUUGGUGGAAGGCGGAUGGCUUGCUCUUUAGGGAUGCCGAGGUGCCUAAUAAAGUGAAGGUUUAUGUCUGGAGUAUGCUUAAGAAUGGAUUGGCAGUGCGGGAAUAGCUGCACCAUUGGACUAGAUAUCAAAGAAGCGGUGCCGUGUGUGGCUUGUGGAUGAGGUGACUAUAUUAUUGCACCAUUUCUGGUGGUGCCAUUAUUCCAAUAUAUUUUGGAGAUGCCUGCAAUCAGAUAUGGGUGCUAGUAUUAUGGCGCCACGGUCGAACGUCCACACCCACAGUGACUUGUGUGGAUGGUUCAGGGAUUUGUUGGUUCAGGCGUAGGAAAACGAAAAGAAGUUGAUCAGAACUACAUAUCCAAAUAGCACUAACAAUCAAAAUUUAUCAUCACUAACCUGCUAGUGGCCUUUCAGUGCCUCUGGGUAAGUUGUGACUUUGACACCACAUACGGGCAUCCUGGCUUGCUAGUGAUAACACUUCAUCACAAACUGCUAGCCUCUCAGUGAUAAUAGUUCAUUGCAGGUUGAAUUUGCUCCUUUUAUUGCUUGCCUAUAUUGAUGUCGGUACCAACAAUGCACGCAAAUGAAAAUUUUGGAAACACAUGAACAGAAUAUGCAUGCAUACAUCACUCAUUUGCGGAAGUUGCUUUCCAUAGAACAAAAAAUGAACAUUGACACACUUCACAACAAACAUAUAUCUGGAACAUAGAUACUUCUACCACAUUACAAACAAUAGUUUAUCCAUCAAGCAAAUUAACAAACUAAAAAAGGAACAUACAUAUUACCCUGAUAAAGGAUGUUGGAGUACCGCCUCCCUGGGGACUUCGCGAGCGAGAGAGCUCUCUGUGCCUUCCAUUUCCGGGUGGGGUGCCGCAAGGGCCUCUCGGGGGUUCUACACGCCAUCCAAUCUACAACAUUACAAAGAGUAGUCUAUCAAUCGAGCCACUUAACAAACCAACAUAUAUAUGGAACUUAGAUACCUCCACCACAUUACAAAGAUUAGUCUAUUCGUCAAACCACUUAACAAACUUGACUAAGGACAUACAUAUAAAUUUAAAUAUGCCUAAACUAAUCAUAAUCUCGGGUAGUCUAUCUAUCGUGCCUCUUAGCAAACUAAUGGGCUCUCCAUAGGAAGGAGAUGAUGAGAAUAAUUAUCUCACCAAUCUAUGUCAAAUCCAAUGGCCAGUGUAGCAAGUACCGAUGAAACCAGCCGGUGCUUGCACCAAUAGGUAAAUUUGUAGCACCACUCAUCAUCUUAAUUUGUGUAAUGCCACCAAAAUAAGACUCUCCAUAAAACAAAAACUAGCAUGACAUAAAAUAUUCAUCGAUCUAUUAUUUUGGAUCAAAUACAAGCCAUCUUUAAGAAAUAAGAAAUUAGUUAACCCAGUACUUGACUUAAUCAUUGGUGUGUUUACAACGGACAAAACACUCUAAGUUUAUCCAGAUGAGGUUCACCUUUUUCUGGAGUAUCUCCCUUCCAACUAAUGGCAAAAAAGGCAAAUAUUUAUUGUGUGCAGUGCAACUAAAUGGAUAUAUGUUUCACCACAAUAGUUGUUCUGUAGUUUUCAACUUACGUAGAGAUCAAUAAAAGGCAUAAUUGCUUUUUUCAAGAACAUAUAAACCUCAUAUAGUAAUCUUAUUCUUUACAUCAAAGAUAUUACUCCUUUCAUUAGAAUGAGUUAAUGAACUUAAGUUAUUCUUCAACACAUAGUAUAAAAUCAUGGCGUGCCUUAGUUGUGUGUAAAGGUAACAAGUUUCAUCAUCUGCCUACUAAGAAGUGUGUAGUGCUACACCAUCAGAAUAGUUGCACUAAACUCUAAAUUCUUAACAGAUUUCUACAAAGAUAGAGGUAAUGCUACAAAAAAAAUCUAUAAGUUAAAAUACAUCGAACCCUACAAAAAAUUGGUUGAAAUACAUCAACCCCUAUAGAUUUCUAUAACCAAAUGCAUGAACUAACCCUAUAAAAUUACAUCCGCACGAAGGUUAGUCACACAUAAAAGCCUAGAAGUUCUGUAAUGUAAGACUAAUCGAAGUUCACCAUCAUAAUCGCUAUCACGACUAAAGAGCAAGGCAGGAGUAUAUUUGGUAUACCACCUCACAUGAUGGCGUGGGAGACGUGAUGUCCAACGACAGUGUGGAUUUGACGGAACCAAAGAUACCAGACGGAGGCUAUGAUGCCGCGACAUUCGAUGUGAUGCCCGACAAGAGAGCGCCGCUCCGGAAGGCGUGGGAGCGGCUGGACUAGGUGGCCGCGGGGACUUCAUAUAGUGUGCCAUUGGAAGGGAUCCAUGACCGGGCAUAGUGCAAUCUCACAGGACAGAGGCUCGCCAGCGGCGGUGAGAGUUAGGGAAUUCACAUGGAGAAGAUAUAAAACAUGUACAACACAACUCUUACUGGUGAGAAAAUGAAAGCGACUAUUUUCCUACAAUAACUUAGGCGGGUCAAAUGUGGCAGCCGUACGUGACAAAUAUUCGUUCACUCUGGACAACGGAACACAUGAUCACUGACCGAUCAAUUUCAAACCCGUCUGUAAUAACCAUGCAGUAGAUCUCAAAAUACCUCAUCACUGACGUACCAUGGAAGACUCAUCAGUGAUGAUGCUCAUCACUGAUGCGUGGACAAUGGUCGGUCAGCACUACAGGGUCAGUGAUAUUCUAAUCUGUAGUUGUGGAUUGUGCAAGGCUUCUAUAAGAUCUGAGUUGUGAGAACCAAUGUGAGUUUCACUAGUAAAACUAUCUUUCAUGUGGAGCAGUGGCACAUGCACACCAAUAGGAGGACAUACAAGUCGUAUCUCAGCGGCAGGAACGAUGGCAUCUGCCAGGGCAUGGGCGGAUCUAAGGCAAUGCUGACCGUGUAUGGGCCAAUAAUCAAGACAGAGGAGGAGAGGCCAUCCCAGGGAGUUCAUUGUAGGCUCAUGCGCUUUUACCCUCUCUAGAGUGGUGGAGUUACAAGCAUUUUUGCGUGUCCUUGCACUAGAGAAGGAAGUUGGAGUCUAGACGAUCGUCUUGGAGACAGACUUCAAGAUGGUGGUGAAGCUCAACUCUGAAGGGAAGAUGUGAAGGGCAUGCUCCAAACUUUUCUUGAGUCGAAGAUCACUUGGGUUCAUAGAAAGAUGAAUUGUAUUGCCUACAUCUUACCUAAUGAAGGUUGUCGGCAUGAGUUGUGAAAAACAUCUACUAGGACCGUUUUGAACUCUGGCACUGCCGAGAACUCUGGCAACUUCUAUCUAAAAAAGAUUAAUUACAGGUAUCUUUUUCCUUAUCAAUAAAUCGAGUUUAAAGAAAUUCAGUUUAAAAUAGGAGCAAGGUGAUUACCAACGUAUUUUUUAAACACAGCACAUAUGCAAGCGCUCUGUCCCUCUAACCAUCCAACCACAGGUUGGUUCGCGAUUACUAACAUACUUAUUUUAUUCUGUAUGUAUAUCUUAAUGCAUGGCUAUAAUAAGAUGAUAUAUUUUUCGUCCAAAAGUUCCAUGUAUUACACUAAUUGACUAGGGAACUAAAUCAUGACUAGUAAUAGUACUCCCUCCAAAACAAAUAAAUGCACUACCAAAUAGUAGGUAUAUAUUUUUCUAAAAAUAAGAAUAUUACUAUUAAAUACUAGUAUACCAAAGAUAUAUUUCACAGUAUACCAAAGAUAUACCUAAAAUAUAAGAAUAUUUAAUAGUAGUAUAUCGAAGAUAUUCUACAAUUAAAUACUAUUACCUUCAUUCCAAAUUAUAAGAAUAUUCCUAUAAAAUAAUAUCACCUCUGUUCUAAUAUAUAGUAGCAGAGAUAAUAUUAUUUAGUAGUGAUAUAUCUUUAUUCCUAAUGACUAUUAAAUACUAGUAUCCCAAAGAUAUAUUUAAUAGUAUACAGAAGAUAUACAAUAAUUAAAUACUAUUUCCUCUGUUCCAAAAUAUAAGAAUAUUACCGUCAAAAGUAGUAUAUCUUUGUUCCAAAUAUAAGAAUAUUACUAUUAGAUACUAGUAUACCCAAUAUAUAUUUAAUACUAUACCAAAGAUAUACAAAAAAUAUAAUAAUUUUUAAUAGAAAUAUACCAAAGAUAUCUACUAUUAAAUACUAGUAUUAAUUAAAUAAAUUUGUAGUUCCACACGUGGUCCCCACCUUGCCCCUUGCCUUCCAUUUCAGUUCAUAAAAGCCAACGCACGCUUCGGCUCCUCUGCUGCUCGCUCACAUUCUUCUCAUCCUGCUCUCCUCGACCCACAUUGUGCGUCUGCUCGACCGAUCCAUCGCGAUGUCUAGCUCGGACGUCAACGCCAUAUCCGCCGCUAACCACGAGGAGCAGAGCCUCGCCGCAUCCGCCCUCACCCCUGCGGCCGCCGUCGCCUAGGGGAAAGGGAAGGUGCAUGCGCAACAGGAUACUGUGCCAGUGGUUCGCAAGCGCAAGUCCAGGAGACGCCGGCAGAAGCAGAAAACUCCACCCCCAGCGGCCACCAGAGAGGAGCUUGAAUCCUGGGAGUCCCGGGAAGGCCCCUUGAAGGUGCUUGCGCUCCCGGCGCCAGGGGCCCACGUGCUCAUGCUGUCUCCGAUGACAAGAUGGUGAGCUGUGCUAGUGCCCCCACCCCGCGUGCAAACGCUUUUUCCGACGACAAGAUGGUGAGCCGCGCAAACUCGCCUCACUGCUACUAGUGAUUUGAAGUUAACCAGUGCCUAAUGAUUUGAAGUUACUGACAAUCUUUAAUCUAGUCAUGUGAAUUAGUACUGGUGCUUAAUAAAUUACUUGAUGUGUAUGUGCAAGAAUUACGUGAUUGGUUAUGUCCUUGAACAUUUUAAUCGUAGCGGUCUCAUCUGCCAGAUGGAGGGGAACGAGAUGAAGCCAGUCCAGGGGGUGCCGCCCAUGCGGGGGAGCAUUGCGGCUUAAAGCUCGGUUGGUAAGUACACCAUACUGGUUUUUCUGUCAGUAUCACGGCUGGUUUUUCGUCAUCAUUAGUAUUCUGAUAUUGGACUGAAGCUGGUUAGCUCUGUCCAUGCUGGAUUUUUGGUAUCAUUUGUAUGCUAAUAUUGGACUGAAACUUGUUACCUCUGUCCAUGCUGGUUUUUUUUGUCAUCAUUAGUAUAAUGAUAUAUUGGACUGAAACUGCACAUAUUUUCUUUCCAUUAACGUGGUCGGGCGGUGCUAUGCAUCAGUCGGGCCAUCCUGGCCACCUUACCCACCUGAUUUUAAUCAAAUUCCACCUAAUUU